Long non-coding RNA from Tetranychus urticae (two-spotted spider mite), 483 nucleotides. RefSeq lists it as uncharacterized. The record is from RefSeq and is a predicted model, not a curated record. NCBI's taxonomy places the organism in Eukaryota, Metazoa, Arthropoda, Arachnida, Trombidiformes, Tetranychidae.
UUUUCAUUGCAAUGUUUACCCAUCAGCUUGUGUACAUGGAGUUUUGGUGCUGAAUCAUUGGUAUAAAGACUUGCUUUAAUGUGUACUUGAUUGGAAGACCUGUAAUUCUCUAGCUUCAUUAGGUACCUUGACAGUUGGAUACGUUUUCUUAUUUUGUGAACUGUUUUCUCCCGUUAAACCGCCAUGAGAUCCCUUUUCACUUUUAUACCGGUAUCUUAUCCGAUUUGUUGGCUCUUCUACAAUCCUUAAAUACGGCCCUUUAAUGGAGAGAAAUUGACAAAUUUGUAAUUAUUCUGAUGGUCACUUAGAAGGUUACAAGGAUUUUUUUCGCAAGACACAAUGUGAAGGGAAUUAAAGGAAUAAGGAAGAGCUCCAAUGCCCUGAAUUUUUAUCUUGCUUUCUCUCAUCACGAUCAUCAUGUUUCAUUUCUUCCAUGACUUGUUGGAUUUCUACAAACUUCUAUGCGUUGGUGCUGUUUAUCAU